AUACGUAGGGGGCGAGCGUUGUCCGGAAUGACUGGGCGUAAAGGGCGUGUAGGCGGCUUUAUAAGUCUGGAGUGAAAGUCCUGCUUUCAAGGUGGGAAUUGCUUUGGAGACUGUAGAGCUUGAGUGCGGAAGAGGUAAGUGGAAUUCCCAGUGUAGCGGUGAAAUGCGUAGAGAUUGGGAGGAACACCAGUGGCGAAGGCGACUUACUGGGCCGUAACUGACGCUGAGGCGCGAAAGCGUGGGGAGCGAACAGGAUUAGAUACCCUGGUAGUCCACGCCGUAAACGAUGAAUGCUAGGUGUAGCGGGUAUCGACCCCUGCUGUGCCGCAGUAAACACAAUAAGCAUUCCGCCUGGGGAGUACGGCCGCAAGGUUGAAACUCAAAUGAAUUGGCGGGG
Molecule: ribosomal RNA, 397 nt
Filed under: uncultured bacterium
Lineage: Bacteria
Description: partial 16S ribosomal RNA
Rfam family: Bacterial small subunit ribosomal RNA
Source: RNAcentral